UCAUCGGUUACAUAGUGGUCAGUGCACUCCGCCGGAAACAGAAAGACGCAGGUUCAAUUCCUGUCUGAUGUC
This 72-nucleotide transfer RNA is filed under the name Nippostrongylus brasiliensis. It matches the Rfam family "tRNA". From Rfam's summary of the family: Transfer RNA (tRNA) molecules are approximately 80 nucleotides in length. Their secondary structure includes four short double-helical elements and three loops (D, anti-codon, and T loops). Further hydrogen bonds mediate the characteristic L-shaped molecular structure. tRNAs have two regions of fundamental functional importance: the anti-codon, which is responsible for specific mRNA codon recognition, and the 3' end, to which the tRNAs corresponding amino acid is attached (by aminoacyl-tRNA synthetases). tRNAs cope with the degeneracy of the genetic code in two manners: having more than one tRNA (with a specific anti-codon) for a particular amino acid; and 'wobble' base-pairing, i.e. permitting non-standard base-pairing at the 3rd anti-codon position. The record is from Rfam by way of RNAcentral. Lineage: Eukaryota; Metazoa; Nematoda; Chromadorea; Rhabditida; Heligmosomidae.